GUAGCUUUCUCCAAUUGCAGAAUGUUUGUUGAAGAGUUUUCUUAAUUUCCUUAGAAUGUCAUGUACAUCCCCUAUUUAUUGUCACGACCCAGGGGUACCCCUUAGAUGUAACAUACGUAUAGAACCCCGAAGGACCCCAUACAAGCCACUUAGCUUUCAUCACAUAAGAAAUAGAACAAUAAGAGUAAAACAAUAGUCCAAGU
This 203-nucleotide long non-coding RNA is filed under the name Solanum tuberosum (potato). RNAcentral describes it as "long non-coding RNA (STUB_LNC008133)". The record is from RNAcentral. Lineage: Eukaryota; Viridiplantae; Streptophyta; Magnoliopsida; Solanales; Solanaceae.